Molecule: unclassified non-coding RNA, 1263 nt
Filed under: Hevea brasiliensis (rubber tree)
Lineage: Eukaryota; Viridiplantae; Streptophyta; Magnoliopsida; Malpighiales; Euphorbiaceae
Source: RNAcentral
GACACAUUAAAAAUACAACCAUCCAAACAUGCUCUAAUAAGGAAAUUUGUUUUUCACCGCGUGUCAAAGUUGACAAGUAUUUUUGAUGUACAAAUUAUAAGGAGAAAGGGCAAAACACAGAGUCUCAAGAAAUAGCUUCAGAUUUAGGCUAAAAUGGCAACCCAGAAAGGGAAGAAGACGGUGCUAAAAUUCGACUCCGAAGAAGAUGUAUCAAAGGCACUUGCUAAAUACACUGCUGAGCUAUCGGAAAAAUUCAUCAAACAAAAAGGUUCUUUCACUGUUGUGCUCUCUGGUGGUUCUCUUAUCGAUACCAUGAGGAAAUUGGUAGAGCCGCCGUACAAAGACUCAAUUGAUUGGUCGAAAUGGUGGAUUUUUUGGGUAGACGAAAGAGUGGUUCCUCUAGGUCACGAUGAUAGCAAUUAUAAACUUGCUUCGGAUGGGUUUCUUUCUAAGGUUCCGAUCCCCUCUUCUAACAUUUAUGCGAUUAAUGACAAGGAGUCACCUGAGGGUGCAGCUGCUGAUUACGAAGCUCGUCUGAAACAAUUGAUUGAGAGCAAAGUUCUUCCGUUAUCAGCAAUUACUGGAUUCCCCAAAUUUGAUCUUAUGCUAUUAGGUAUGGGGCCAGAUGGACAUGUAGCGUCUUUGUUUCCUUUGCAUCCUCACCGCCACGAGAAGGAGCGGCUGGUCACCUUCAUUACAGACUCACCAAAACCUCCUCCACCAAGGAUUACUUUCACCUUUCCGGUAAUUAAUUCGGCUUCAGAGAUAGCAAUGGUGGUCACAGGAGCAGAGUUAGCUCAUAUGGUUGAUGUCGCUUUGGGUAAUGCGCCUCCUCCUGAUGGAAUUCCUCCCCCUUGUACUGAGGUUUCAGCUGAAGAGGAACUGACCUGGUUUUUAGACAAGGAUGCUGCAUCAGAACUACAGACCUCUAGAUGAUUAUGUUAUCCUUGUGAUAUACUUAAUAAGUGUAAUCCAAAUAGGACAUGAGCAUAAAGUUUGGUGCCCCUUGAAUGUGUUGCCUUGUAAUGGUUAACCAUUCUUGCUUGGUAGUUGAUACUUAUUCUACCUUUAACUUUAUCCUCUAGAAGGUAAAAGUUAGGUACGAUAUGAAGAAUGCAUAUUCUAUAAGGUUUGGUAACGUCGCUUUGCGAACUGAGAUCCAUGAUCAGAAUAUAAUACAUUGGUAUUCAGUAUUGUAUCAGGGAGGUCUUUGUUUCUCUUAAAAGUAUAGCCAUCAAAGUAUUGGCGAGACGUGAUUAAACA